GCGCUUUUGAGUGCCUGGCUUCCAACCAGGUAGUCGGGAGUUCGAAUCUCUCCGGGCGCGCCA
RNAcentral lists this transfer RNA (63 nucleotides) under Gammaproteobacteria bacterium. RNAcentral's name for it is "tRNA-Ser". It matches the Rfam family "tRNA". From Rfam's summary of the family: Transfer RNA (tRNA) molecules are approximately 80 nucleotides in length. Their secondary structure includes four short double-helical elements and three loops (D, anti-codon, and T loops). Further hydrogen bonds mediate the characteristic L-shaped molecular structure. tRNAs have two regions of fundamental functional importance: the anti-codon, which is responsible for specific mRNA codon recognition, and the 3' end, to which the tRNAs corresponding amino acid is attached (by aminoacyl-tRNA synthetases). tRNAs cope with the degeneracy of the genetic code in two manners: having more than one tRNA (with a specific anti-codon) for a particular amino acid; and 'wobble' base-pairing, i.e. permitting non-standard base-pairing at the 3rd anti-codon position. Lineage: Bacteria; Pseudomonadati; Pseudomonadota; Gammaproteobacteria. The record is from RNAcentral.